UGGGGAAUUUUGGACAAUGGGCGCAAGCCUGAUCCAGCCAUGCCGCGUGAGUGAAGAAGGCCUUCGGGUUGUAAAGCUCUUUCGGACGGAAAGAAAUCGUGCAGGCUAAUACCCUGCGCGGAUGACGGUACCGUCAUAAGAAGCACCGGCUAACUACGUGCCAGCAGCCGCGGUAAUACGUAGGGUGCGAGCGUUAAUCGGAAUUACUGGGCGUAAAGCGUGCGCAGGCGGUUGAUUAAGACAGGCGUGAAAUCCCCGGGCUUAACCUGGGAACUGCGCUUGUGACUGGUCAGCUAGAGUACGGCAGAGGGGGGUGGAAUUCCACGUGUAGCAGUGAAAUGCGUAGAGAUGUGGAGGAACACCGAUGGCGAAGGCAGCCCCCUGGGCCGAUACUGACGCUCAUGCACGAAAGCGUGGGUAGCAAACAGG
This 429-nucleotide ribosomal RNA is filed under the name Actinomycetes bacterium. RNAcentral describes it as "Actinobacteria bacterium partial 16S ribosomal RNA". It matches the Rfam family "Bacterial small subunit ribosomal RNA", at positions 355 to 776 of the family's 1533-position model. Lineage: Bacteria; Bacillati; Actinomycetota; Actinomycetes. RNAcentral also lists the same sequence under 1 other name. The record is from RNAcentral.